RNAcentral lists this ribosomal RNA (253 nucleotides) under uncultured bacterium. RNAcentral describes it as "partial 16S ribosomal RNA". It matches the Rfam family "Bacterial small subunit ribosomal RNA", at positions 524 to 776 of the family's 1533-position model. The record is from RNAcentral.
CACGGAGGCCCCGAGCGUUGUUCGGAUUUACUGGGCGUAAAGCGUGCGUAGGCGGCUGGGUAAGUCAGAUGUGAAAGCCCGGGGCUCAACCCCGGAACUGCAUCCGAUACUGCCCGGCUUGAGGGCUGGAGAGGAGACUGGAAUUCACGGUGUAGCAGUGAAAUGCGUGGAUAUCGUGAGGAAGACCAAAGGCGAAGGCAGGUCUCUGGACAGCUCCUGACGAUGAUGCACGAAGGCCAGGGGAGCAAAAAGG